Molecule: ribosomal RNA, 305 nt
Filed under: uncultured bacterium
Lineage: Bacteria
Description: bacterial SSU rRNA
Rfam family: Bacterial small subunit ribosomal RNA
Source: RNAcentral
UAUUACCUACGGGACGCAGCAGUGGGGAAUAUUGCGCAAUGGGGGCAACCCUGACGCAGCAACGCCGCGUGCAGGAAGAAGGUCUUCGGAUUGUAAACUGUUGUCGCAGGGGAAGAAGACAGUGACGGUACCCUGAGAGAAAGUCACGGCUAACUACGUGCCAGCAGCCGCGGUAAUACGUAGGUGACAAGCGUUGUCCGGAUUUACUGGGUGUAAAGGGCGCGUAGGCGGGAUAGCAAGUCAGUCGUGAAAUGCCGAGGCUUAACCUCGGAGCUGCGAUUGAAACUGUACUUAUUGAGUAUAGG